This 253-nucleotide ribosomal RNA is filed under the name uncultured bacterium. RNAcentral's name for it is "partial 16S ribosomal RNA". It matches the Rfam family "Bacterial small subunit ribosomal RNA", at positions 524 to 776 of the family's 1533-position model. The record is from RNAcentral.
UACGUAGGGGGCUAGCGUUGUCCGGAAUCAUUGGGCGUAAAGAGCGCGUAGGCGGCUAGAUAAGUCCGGUGUGAAAGUCACAGGCUCAACCUGUGAAUGCCGCUGGAAACUGUCUGGCUAGAGGUCGGUAGGGGAGUGUGGAAUUCCUGGUGGAGCGGUGAAAUGCGCAGAUAUCAGGAGGAACACCCGUAGCGAAGGCGGCACUCUGGGCCGAUACUGACACUGAGGAGCGAAAGCGUGGGGAGCGAACAGG